Molecule: ribosomal RNA, 508 nt
Filed under: uncultured bacterium
Lineage: Bacteria
Description: partial 16S ribosomal RNA
Rfam family: Bacterial small subunit ribosomal RNA
Source: RNAcentral
AUUGAACGCUGGCGGCAUGCCUUACACAUGCAAGUCGAACGGCAGCGGGGGAGAAGCUUGCUUUUCCUGCCUGCGAGUGGCGAACGGGUGAGUAAUACAUCGGAACGUGCCUUGUAGUGAGGGAUAAUUAGUCGUAAGAUUAGCUAAUACCGCAUCCGACCUGAGGGUGUGAUAGGGGGACCGCAAGGCCUGUUGCUAUAGGAGCGGCCGAUGUCUGAUUAGCUAGUUGGUGGGGUAAAGGCCUACCAAGGCGACGAUCAGUAGCUGGACUGAGAGGACGAUCAGCCACACUGGGACUGAGACACGGCCCAGACUCCUACGGGAGGCAGCAGUGGGGAAUUUUGGACAAUGGGCGAAAGCCUGAUCCAGCAAUGCCGCGUGUGUGAAGAAGGCCUUCGGGUUGUAAAGCACUUUUGUCCGGAAAGAAAUGGCUCUGGUUAAUACCUGGGGUCGAUGACGGUACCGGAAGAAUAAGGACCGGCUAACUACGUGCCAGCCGCCGCAGUAA